RNAcentral lists this ribosomal RNA (743 nucleotides) under uncultured Streptococcus sp. RNAcentral describes it as "bacterial SSU rRNA". It matches the Rfam family "Bacterial small subunit ribosomal RNA", at positions 33 to 762 of the family's 1533-position model. The record is from RNAcentral. Lineage: Bacteria; Bacillati; Bacillota; Bacilli; Lactobacillales; Streptococcaceae.
ACGCUGCGGCGUGCCUAAUACAUGCAAGUAGAACGCUGAAGGAGGAGCUUGCUUCUCUGGAUGAGUUGCGAACGGGUGAGUAACGCGUAGGUAACCUGCCUGGUAGCGGGGGAUAACUAUUGGAAACGAUAGCUAAUACCGCAUAACAGUAGAUGUUGCAUGACAUUUGCUUAAAAGGUGCAAUUGCAUCACUACCAGAUGGACCUGCGUUGUAUUAGCUAGUUGGUGGGGUAACGGCUCACCAAGGCGACGAUACAUAGCCGACCUGAGAGGGUGAUCGGCCACACUGGGACUGAGACACGGCCCAGACUCCUACGGGAGGCAGCAGUAGGGAAUCUUCGGCAAUGGACGGAAGUCUGACCGAGCAACGCCGCGUGAGUGAAGAAGGUUUUCGGAUCGUAAAGCUCUGUUGUAAGAGAAGAACGAGUGUGAGGGUGGAAAGUUCACACUGUGACGGUAUCUUACCAGAAAGGGACGGCUAACUACGUGCCAGCAGCCGCGGUAAUACGUAGGUCCCGAGCGUUGUCCGGAUUUAUUGGGCGUAAAGCGAGCGCAGGCGGUUAGAUAAGUCUGAAGUUAAAGGCUGUGGCUUAACCAUAGUACGCUUUGGAAACUGUUUAACUUGAGUGCAAGAGGGGAGAGUGGAAUUCCAUGUGUAGCGGUGAAAUGCGUAGAUAUAUGGAGGAACACCGGUGGCGAAAGCGGCUCUCUGGCUUGUAACUGACGCUGAGGCUCGAAAGCGU